AUCUAGUUUUGGAUCUGAUUCAAUUUAUUUUGUUGCCGAUUCUUGAUUUUUAUGAUAUUUAUUUAUGAAUCGCCAUGUGUAAUUAUUCGAAGAUAUUUUGAUAUUUUGAUUCUUGUACUUCCUUCUUGUGAAAUUAUUUUUUUCUAUGUAUUGAUCCUGUAAGGCUUGUUGAUUUUCUGAUUAUCUGGAUGUAAAAUCAUACAUUUGUUGGUAUGUAUAUUCCAGAAUUGUCUCGAUCAAUUUUAUUACUAAAGAAAAGAAGAUCGGUAUGAUUUGGGUGGGUUUUUUUAAUGAAUUGUUUAAUGUAUAGAUGAUUGGUAUUAUAGUGUAUUUCAAUGUCUGAAGAUAUUUCAAUCUUGUUAAAAAAUCUUGCUAUAAAAUAAAUGAGUUUCCUGGCUUGUAAAAACUGCAAUGCAAACCAAUGAGGCACUAUGAAAUUGCUCAUGUUACUGAAAAUACCAUUAAACAAGAAUCAUCACUUGAUCAUCAAAUAUGAUCAGACAAAUACUUUUAUAUAAACUUCGGCAGAUUAGAAUUUCUCAUAAAUUCUGAUUUAUUUUUUUUUAUUUCUCAGGCACCUUGCACUAUUGCACACUCAAAUAUUAGUCAGCCAGAAUAUACAUAUGUUGAAUUACUUAGGCUGCAGGGAUUUCUUGAUUCUGAGAGUGAGCCACUAAGCUAUGUAUCAGAGUGAUGCUAAUUAUAAUUAGUAUUUCAAUGUCUGAAGAUGACAAAGAUGGAGAUUAGCGAUGUAGAAUUUGGUCCGGGAUCAACUUGGCGCUUAAUGCAGUCCAACUUGUCGAAAAGUAUAUAUGGUUAGUUUCUAGCUAAUUAGAUUAUGUGAUACAUUUAUCAUACUUUCAGUUGGGUAUUAUAUAUGGUGUUUCUUAAAGACUGGGCUUCUCUAAAUACAGAGCACUUUGUUUUAUUGUUUGGAGCAAUAGAAUCAUAGAAGGCUAGCACACUCUGGCUUGUGGAGCAUUGGCUUAUCAGUAUAUGAAAAAGUAGUUACUUCAACAGUUGAUGUGUUGUAGGCAAUGAGGUCCUCCAUAUGCUCUUUUUUGCUAAAGGGAUAUUUUGUAGCCACAGAUCCCCUCUCUGGCGCUUGGAAUCCAUAAGUCAGAAGUUUGUUAUAGUGUGGAAGCCAUUAUUAGCAAAUCCUGAAGAUGAAAGCACACGGAGAUACCUGAGUUCAAACUAGGAGAAGCUAGUGAUUUGCAAUUGGAUAGAUAAUCAGCAGAGCCAGUCAUAAUUUUUUUCUUUCAUUGCAAUGCUUCUUUUUUGUAAAAAGAAAUAAUGCCAUCAUUAUCAACAUUUAUGUAUGUAUGUAUACAAUACAAGUACAACCUUCGUUAAAUGACUCAUUAAUACAUUGAAUUUAG
Long non-coding RNA from Daucus carota subsp. sativus, 1382 nucleotides. RefSeq lists it as uncharacterized. The record is from RefSeq and is a predicted model, not a curated record. The transcript has 3 exons. Lineage: Eukaryota; Viridiplantae; Streptophyta; Magnoliopsida; Apiales; Apiaceae.